Molecule: small nuclear RNA, 142 nt
Organism: Bodo saltans
Lineage: Eukaryota; Euglenozoa; Kinetoplastea; Eubodonida; Bodonidae
Rfam family: U2 spliceosomal RNA
About the family: U2 is a small nuclear RNA (snRNA) component of the spliceosome (involved in pre-mRNA splicing). Complementary binding between U2 snRNA (in an area lying towards the 5' end but 3' to hairpin I) and the branchpoint sequence (BPS) of the intron results the bulging out of an unpaired adenosine, on the BPS, which initiates a nucleophilic attack at the intronic 5' splice site, thus starting the first of two transesterification reactions that mediate splicing.
Source: Rfam
AGAUCUUCUCGGCUUUUUAGCUAAGAUCAUGUUUUUAAACUGAUCUUAUCAGAGUAACUCCUGAUAGGGACUUGUUCCCAGGAUCCAAAUUUUAACGCAAUGUUUUCUUGGAGUCACACUAAGUCCAAGAGAACAACUUUUU